AGAGUUUGAUCAUGGCUCAGAAUCAACGCUGGCGGCGUGCCUAACACAUGCAAGUCGAACGCGAAAGUCCCGCAAGGGAUCGGUAGAGUGGCAAACGGGUGAGUAACACGUGGGUGACCUGCCUUCGAGUGGGGGAUAACGUCCCGAAAGGGACGCUAAUACCGCAUGACAUCCUGCCUUUGAAGAGGUGGAGCUUAAAGCCGGGGAUCGCAAGACCUGGCGCUUGAAGAGGGGCCCGCGCCUGAUUAGCUAGUUGGUGAGGUAACGGCUCACCAAGGCAACGAUCAGUAUCCGGCCUGAGAGGGCGGACGGACACACUGGGACUGAGACACGGCCCAGACUCCUACGGGAGGCAGCAGUGGGGAAUUGUUCGCAAUGGGCGCAAGCCUGACGACGCAACGCCGCGUGGAGGAUGAAGACCUUCGGGUCGUAAACUCCUUUCGAUCGAGACGAACGGCCCCUGGGCUAAUCACCAGGGGAGUGACGGUACCGAGAGAAGAAGCCCCGGCUAACUCCGUGCCAGCAGCCGCGGUAAUACGGGGGGGGCAAGCGUUGUUCGGAAUUACUGGGCGUAAAGGGCUCGUAGGUGGCCAACUAAGUCAUACGUGAAAUCCCUCGGCUUAACCGGGGAACUGCGUCUGAUACUGGAUGGCUUGAGGUUGGGAGAGGGAUGCGGAAUUCCAGGUGUAGCGGUGAAAUGCGUAGAUAUCUGGAGGAACACCGGUGGCGAAGGCGGCAUCCUGGACCAAUUCUGACACUGAGGAGCGAAAGCCAGGGGAGCAAACGGGAUUAGAUACCCCUGUAGUCC
RNAcentral lists this ribosomal RNA (808 nucleotides) under uncultured bacterium. RNAcentral describes it as "bacterial SSU rRNA". It matches the Rfam family "Bacterial small subunit ribosomal RNA", at positions 8 to 796 of the family's 1533-position model. The record is from RNAcentral.